This 497-nucleotide ribosomal RNA is filed under the name uncultured bacterium. RNAcentral's name for it is "partial 16S ribosomal RNA". It matches the Rfam family "Bacterial small subunit ribosomal RNA", at positions 28 to 507 of the family's 1533-position model. The record is from RNAcentral.
GAUGAACGCUGGCGGCGUGCCUAAUACAUGCAAGUCGAGCGAACGGACGAGAAGCUUGCUUUUCUGAUGUUAGCGGCGGACGGGUGAGUAACACGUGGACAACCUACCUAUACGACUGGGAUAACUUCGGGAAACCGGAGCUAAUACCGGAUAAUAUUUUGAACCGCAUGGUUCAAAAGUGAAAGACGGUCUUGCUGUCACUUAUAGAUGGAUCCGCGCUGCAUUAGCUAGUUGGUAAGGUAACGGCUUACCCAGGCAACGAUGCAUAGCCGACCCCAGGGGGACGAUCCACAGCUGGGAACUGAGGAUCGGUCCAGACACCUGCGGGCGGCCGCGGUACGGACUCUUCCGCGAUGCACGAGUGCCUAACGUUGCAACGCCGCCUGAGUCAUGAUGGUCCUCUGAUCCUAAAACGCUGUUAGUAUGAAAGUUCUUAUGUGCAUGUAACUGUGCACAUCUUGACAGUACCUAAUCAGAAAGCCACGGCUAACUACGUG